AGCUUUAUAUUCAUUAUAAAUGAUGUUAGACUGCAAUUCUAAAGGAGUAUAAAAUUAAAUACUAAAGCUU
Molecule: transfer RNA, 70 nt
Filed under: Chrysotus sp.
Lineage: Eukaryota; Metazoa; Arthropoda; Insecta; Diptera; Dolichopodidae
Description: tRNA-Cys
Source: RNAcentral